This 253-nucleotide ribosomal RNA is filed under the name uncultured bacterium. RNAcentral describes it as "partial 16S ribosomal RNA". It matches the Rfam family "Bacterial small subunit ribosomal RNA", at positions 524 to 776 of the family's 1533-position model. The record is from RNAcentral.
UACGGAGGGUGCGAGCGUUGUCCGGAUUUAUUGGGUUUAAAGGGUGCGUAGGCGGCCUGUUAAGUCGGCGGUGAAAGUCUGUGGCUCAACCAUGGAACUGCCGUUGAUACUGGCUGGCUUGAGUGCCGGUGGGGUACAUGGAAUUGAUGGUGUAGCGGUGAAAUGCAUAGAUACCAUCAGGAACACCGAUAGCGUAGGCAUUGUACUUACCGGCAACUGACGCUGAGGCACGAAAGCGCGGGUAUCGAACAGG